GUCUCAUUUGUGUGCACGGUGUGCCAUGUCACAUUGCAUCGUUUCACGUGCAUUUUUCAUGUAUCUCAUUUCUUGCUUCUUUACGUGUGCCAGAUGGCCCGUAAGCGAUCACGUCCCUCUUCCCAGCCAGCUAGUGGUUCUACGUCGUACAGUCGAUCACGAUUCAUUUCUGCCACUGCUCAGGAGGUUUUCACUUCCCAGUUCUCCUUACGCCCUGUUCUCAUGGAGCGUGAGGUAAUUUUGUCUGACCUUCCCGUAGAGAUAGCUGCCAUCUUAGUGUCUCGGGGUUGGGAGCCUUUGCUUGUUGGUCUAUCACCUCCACCCCCUCUU
RNAcentral lists this long non-coding RNA (330 nucleotides) under Olea europaea (common olive). RNAcentral's name for it is "long non-coding RNA (OEUR_LNC009262)". The record is from RNAcentral. Lineage: Eukaryota; Viridiplantae; Streptophyta; Magnoliopsida; Lamiales; Oleaceae.